Oryctolagus cuniculus (rabbit) is the source of this 484-nucleotide non-coding RNA. NCBI's taxonomy places the organism in Eukaryota, Metazoa, Chordata, Mammalia, Lagomorpha, Leporidae. The record is from RefSeq and is a predicted model, not a curated record.
GGGCAGAGGCUCUUCCGCCAGGCACCAGUCAAGCUUGCCGUGUCCUCUCCUCUCCUCUGUCUGCCUUUGGAACGCGAAGGCAGAACACAGCAGGCCUGGCCAGUCCCACCACGUGCUGCUCCACCUGCCCUGUGGCUCACUCGUCAGGCAAACCACUUGGAAGGAACACUGAGUGUGGGAAGAGCACUGAGCAGCUUCAGCCCAUGGGGAGGAGGUGUGGACAGGCUCAGCCCACAGGGAGGAGGUGUGGACAGGCUCAGCCCACGGGGAGGAGGUGUGGACAGGCUCAGCCCACGGGGAGGAGGUGUAGACAGGCUCAGCCCACGGGGAGGAGGUGUAGACAGGCUCAGCCCACAGGGAGGAGGUGCAGACAGGCUCAGCCCACAGGGAGGAGGUAUGGACAGGCUCAGCCCACAGGGAGGAGGUGCAGACAGGCUCAGCCCAUGGGGAGGAGGUGUGGACAGACUCAGCCCACGGGGAGGAG